RNAcentral lists this ribosomal RNA (535 nucleotides) under uncultured Alphaproteobacteria bacterium. RNAcentral describes it as "SSU rRNA". It matches the Rfam family "Bacterial small subunit ribosomal RNA", at positions 242 to 795 of the family's 1533-position model. The record is from RNAcentral. Lineage: Bacteria; Pseudomonadati; Pseudomonadota; Alphaproteobacteria.
CAGCUAGUUGGUGAGGUAAUGGCUCACCAAGGCUCCGAUCCUUAGCUGUUCUGAGAGGAAGAUCAGCCACACUGGGACUGAGACACGGCCCAGACUCCUACGGGAGGCAGCAGUUGGGAAUCUUGGACAAUGGGGGAAACCCUGAUCCAGCCAUGCCGCGUGAGUGAUGAAGGCCUUCGGGUUGUAAAACUCUUUCGACGGGGACGAUAAUGACGGUACCCGUAGAAGAAGCUCCGGCUAACUUCGUGCCAGCAGCCGCGAUAAUACGAAGGGGGCUAGCGUUGUUCGGAAUUACUGGGCGUAAAGCGCGCGCAGGCGGCUAUCCAAGUCAGUGGUGAAAGCCCGGAGCUCAACUCCGGAACUGCCAUUGAAACUGUUUAGCUUGAGGACGAGAGAGGUGAGUGGAAUUCCCAGUGUAGAGGUGAAAUUCGUAGAUAUUGGGAAGACACCGGUGGCGAAGGCGGCUCACUGGCUCGUAUCUGACGCUCAGGCGCGACAGCGUGGGGAUCAAACAGGAUUAGAUACCCUGGUAGUC